CCCUUAGAUGCUCUGGGCCGCACGCGCGCUACACUGGUCGAUGCAACGAGUUUCUUUCCUUGGCCGACAGGCCUGGGCAAUCUUUGAACAUCGAUCGUGAUCGGGAUAGAUUCUUGUAAUUUUUGAUCUUAAACGAGGAAUUCCUAGUAAACGCAAGUCAUCAGCUUGCAUUGAUUACGUCCCUGCCCUUUGUACACACCGCUCGUCGCACCUACCGAUUGAAUGGUCCGGUGAAAUCUCCGGACUGGCGUGAGUCGGAGCAAUCUGACAAACACCGGAAAGUUGAUUAAACCUUACCAUUUAGAGGAAGGUGAAGUCGUAACA
RNAcentral lists this ribosomal RNA (324 nucleotides) under uncultured eukaryote. RNAcentral describes it as "partial 18S ribosomal RNA". It matches the Rfam family "Eukaryotic small subunit ribosomal RNA", at positions 1470 to 1796 of the family's 1831-position model. The record is from RNAcentral.